AACACCUCACUUCACCAUUGUAAUAUACCAUCUCUUGUUUUUAUUUUGUUUCUGUGAUGUGUUUUGUCCUGAGUACUCUCUUCCAAAUUUGGUCACACAGUGGACUAUGUGAUUUAAGUUUGGGGGAGGGCUCAGGAAGUGUGUGUUGCAUUGUCUAGAAUCUUGAGUCUGCAUUCAUUUAAGGCAUAGAAAAACAAACAAAAAAAUUGAAAAAUUUCAGAAAAUGACUUCACAAAAACAGAGUGUUCAUGUAGUUGCAUAGGGGAUAAUGAUGAAAUAGCCUUGUAAGCAUUUUGGUUCACCAAAUAAGCUCAGUGCCCUCGUUGUUAAUUGUUUGAUGCGUAGUUAAUGAAAUUGAAGUAAAACUGCACCAUGCCUAGAUUGCUCUACUCGACCACACUGUUAGGAUCUGAUACCAUUUCCUAUCAAUUUGAACUUGAAUCUGAUAUAGAAUUAUCAUGUCUUGGCAUCGAAUUUGAACUCAUGGAUACCCUAAAAUACUUGGAUUUUCUUACUCAUUUUUACCACUUUUGUUAGUCCAAGUAGCUGACUCUCCUUAUUAGAGCAGUUAACCCGAACCAAAACCUAAACUUUCUUUCAAGCCCUAUAUCACUUGUGAGUGUUUGUGAGGUCUUAUUUCGAUUGAGCUUGGUAGAAAGUGUUAGGUUCGUAACGACAGAGAGAGUAUCUCAUGUAGUUCUAGUUCGCGUUUUUCAGACUGGAUAGGACUAGAUGGGCGCUUAUAUCAUGGGUUGGGAUGUGUUUAAAAGAAAAGGGUGAGUUCAUUGUUGAUAAGGAAAGGGAAAAAAUUCUAGGGGAAGUAAGCUAAAGAAUUUAGAAAAAAAAAAUGUAGUAAUUGGGAAUGUUAAAGAAAAGAAUGAGGUUCUUGUUAGCUAAAGAAGAAGGGUUAAAAGCCUUUGGUUUUAAAGAUUAAAAACAGGAACCUUAGUUGUUAAAUAAAUCCAAAUCCGCUAGAUGUAUCAGAGUGUUGAGAAAGCUUCUCCUAGAGUUAAGAGAAAAGAAAAGAAGGAUAUGAAAAAGAGUUUAAAAGAUUCACGAGUGCAAAGGGUAGAGUUAAGUUCUUGUAUUAGGAUUGGAGUUGGGAUUACCAUUAGAGCUUCAUUGUUAUACUCUGGGUAGAUGGGAUCUUAUCUCUGUAGGCAUAGCUUGGGACUUACCUUUAGCAUUCUACUAAAGUUCAAUCAUUUUUUGAGAGAUCCCCUGUUACUGAAGCCUAUUCUGUAAGGGACCAUCUUUGUCUCUUGACCUUCACCUUAGCCAAAUGAGUUCAUUGAUGAUGCAUUGCUUGAUUCACGUUCCAGAACUAAUGAAUGUUAAAGGGAUUGGUAGAUUUGAAAGCAUGUGUAGGUCGAGUAUAGGAGACGGAUUGAUUGAUAACAAGGCAUGGCUAACGUUUUUGAGUAAAAUUCGAUCAUAUCGCAUCUUAGAACUACCAACUUGGACAUUGAUUUUAUUUGCUCUAUUUGAUGCUUUGGUUCUGAGUCCCCACCUUCAAACCUCUCCUUCAACUAUGUCUUCUUAUUUGCUUGAGGGCAAGCAAAGACUAAGUUUGGGGGAGUUGAUAUGUCUAUAAUUUGCAUGUUUUCAGUGAUCAUUCAUCAUCAUUUUGAGUCUAGUUUCAUAUCAUUCAUCACUGUUUUAUAUCAUUUCUCAUCAUUCUUGCACACUUUGCACGAUUAGGAUAGCUUUGCAUACAUAUUGCAAUCUUGAGUGGUUUUCAGGUGAUUUGGAGCUGUUGGCGAGCAAAGUGGAAGAAGCGAGCCAGAAUCAGAGGACAUACUCGACCCCCUGGUCGAGUAACUUUGGAGCCAUUCUUCCCAUCUACUCGACCUCGUGGUCGAGUAACCUCAGCUCAGGCCACUCGAUGACGCCACUCAACCCCCAGAUCGAGUAUCACUUCGCCAUACCACCUGACCACCCUCGACCGUCCACUCUACCAUAUUACUCGACCCCUAGGUCGAGUAUCAUCACUCACCACCAGAACCAUCACUCGACCAAGCACUCGAUCACAUCGUCGGAGUCUAUUCAAAUCCGCACUCAACCAGACAAGCUGAGCACAAGAAAGAGAAGGGAGAAGAAGUGUUUGGAAGCGGCCUGGAGCUCCAUCGGAUCACGACGCCCAUCUCGGCCCAUUAUCACUCUAUGGGCCGGGCGAUUAGGUUAAUGGCCCGUCUACUAUCAUUUUAUUUCGCUUUGUAUAAAUAGAUGUCUUAGGGUUCUGUCCGGAGACAUCUAGUCGACAUUGAGUUUUUGCUUCAGUUUUAUUUUCUGUUUUACUCUGGCUACGCCACUUUUGCUUCUACAAACCUGUAAUUCGAGAUUUUUGCAAGUUAUUCAGAUUCUGCAUUUGAUUUCAUCUUUCAUCUUGUUUCUCUACUCUUUAUCUCUUUACUUAUGCAAUAUUAUCAUUCACCUGCGUUUAUGUCUUUGAGCAGUAUAGAGUUCUUAAGGAUGGGAUAGAGUAGUUGUGGAAUCCGUAGUCUGUAGAAUGGUUAAGUUUUAGAAUUGAUUGAAUCCCUUCAGGACUAGUUGCGUUUACUGCUUAUUUCUUUCUGAUCAACUGGAAUUUGAUCCACUAGUUCCUGAGAUAUUCGUCUCUAUCCCAAGGGAUUGGCCGUUUAGAGCGUUUAUUGACUUUAUCAGUGUGUUCUUAUUGCCUACAUAGUUAGAUUUCGUUAAUGGGAAUUAGUCUGGGCUAGCUUUGCUUGAGGAUUUCUAUCACGGGAGUGAAUUAAUCUGUUGUUGAACCUGUUGUCUAGGGAUAGCUUGAUUGCGCUUGUUAACCAUUCGAAUAAGCUAGGAUACCACUCUAUUCGAUUACCCCAUCCUUAAGAAUUUCUCGUCUAUCUGAUUUCUCCUAUUUUAUCGUUAUCACUUAAUCGUUCUUAUUGUCUGUUUCUUAGUUUUUGCGAUUACUCGAUCAACUUACUCGACCACACCUAGUGUCUAGCAACAGACUGUGCAGUCGAGUAUAGUUGUCUCAUUUCCUGUCUGUUACUCGACCAGUAUACUCGACCACACCCAAUGUCUGGCAAUAGACUGUGCAGUCGAGUAUAUAUGUUUCAUAUCCUGUCUGUUACUCGACCACAUCCUACUUCUGGCAUCAGCCUGUUGUGGUCGAGUGAUUUUAGUAAUUCUGUUAUUGUUUCUGUUUUCUGCAUGUUCGCUUAGGACUGUUAGAAACCCCAAAACUGUUAUUGCUUGGCUUGACUUAGUGACUUCUGAUCACAUCUCAUCUGUUUUCAUCACUCCCAUUUGGAUUGACACUCUAAGUACUACAACGACAUGAUAAUGCUUUAGGAUUAAUUGACUUAAA
This 3337-nucleotide small RNA is filed under the name Arabidopsis thaliana (thale cress). RNAcentral describes it as "ATSL266500". The record is from RNAcentral. Lineage: Eukaryota; Viridiplantae; Streptophyta; Magnoliopsida; Brassicales; Brassicaceae.